Molecule: ribosomal RNA, 254 nt
Filed under: uncultured bacterium
Lineage: Bacteria
Description: partial 16S ribosomal RNA
Rfam family: Bacterial small subunit ribosomal RNA
Source: RNAcentral
UACGUAGGGUGCGAGCGUUAAUCGGAAUUACUGGGCGUAAAGCGUGCGCAGGCGGUGACGUAAGGCAGAUGUGAAAUCCCCGGGCUCAACCUGGGAACUGCAUUUGUGACUGCAUCGCUGGAGUGCGGCAGAGGGGGGAUGGAAUUCCGCGUGUAGCAGUGAAAUGCGUAGAUAUGCGGAGGAACACCGAUGGCGAAGGCAAUCCCCUGGGCCUGCACUGACGCUCAUGCACGAAAGCGUGGGGAGCAAACAGG